This is a non-coding RNA of Salmo salar (Atlantic salmon), 296 nucleotides long. The record is from RefSeq and is a predicted model, not a curated record. NCBI's taxonomy places the organism in Eukaryota, Metazoa, Chordata, Actinopteri, Salmoniformes, Salmonidae.
GAGCUGGUGUCCAACUCUGCCGCUCUCAUCCAGCAAGCCACCACGGUCAAAAACAAAGACAUAAGGAAGUUCUUGGACGGUAUCUAUGUGUCUGAGAAGGGCACAGUCGUCCAGAAGGAGGAUUAGAGCGGCUCUGAUCCAACAAGCCACCACGGUCAAGAAGAAAGACAUCAGGAAGUUCCUGGAUGGGAUCUACGUCAGUGAGAAGACGACUGUUGUGGAACAGACGGGCGAAUAACGAUACAUCUCUGGAACUCACUAUUGACCAAUAAAAUCAUUUUUUUUCCCUCCUCCAA